RNAcentral lists this ribosomal RNA (501 nucleotides) under marine proteobacterium 'Bird Shoal 1-31'. Its description in RNAcentral is "bacterial SSU rRNA". It matches the Rfam family "Bacterial small subunit ribosomal RNA", at positions 30 to 508 of the family's 1533-position model. Lineage: Bacteria; Pseudomonadati; Pseudomonadota; Gammaproteobacteria; Vibrionales; Vibrionaceae. The record is from RNAcentral.
AUUGAACGCUGGCGGCAGGCUUAACACAUGCAAGUCGAGCGGCAGCGACAACAUUGAACUUUCGGGGGAUUUGUUGGGCGGCGAGCGGCGGACGGGUGAGUAAUGCCUAGGAAAUUGCCCUGAUGUGGGGGAUAACCAUUGGAAACGAUGGCUAAUACCGCAUGAUGCCUUCGGGCCAAAGAGGGGGACCUUCGGGCCUCUCGCGUCAGGAUAUACCUAGGUGGGAUUAGCUAGUUGGUGAGGUAAGGGCUCACCAAGGCGACGAUCCCUAGCUGGUCUGAGAGGAUGAUCAGCCACACUGGAACUGAGACACGGUCCAGACUCCUACGGGAGGCAGCAGUGGGGAAUAUUGCACAAUGGGCGCAAGCCUGAUGCAGCCAUGCCGCGUGUGUGAAGAAGGCCUUCGGGUUGUAAAGCACUUUCAGUCGUGAGGAAGGUAGUGUAGUUAAUAGCUGCAUUAUUUGACGUUAGCGACAGAAGAAGCACCGGCUAACUCCGUGC